GUGGGGAAUCUUGCGCAAUGGGCGAAAGCCUGACGCAGCCAUGCCGCGUGAAUGAUGAAGGUCUUAGGAUUGUAAAAUUCUUUCACCGGGGACGAUAAUGACGGUACCCGGAGAAGAAGCUCCGGCUAACUUCGUGCCAGCAGCCGCGGUAAUACGAAGGGGGCUAGCGUUGCUCGGAAUUACUGGGCGUAAAGGGCGCGUAGGCGGACAGCUUAGUCAGAGGUGAAAGCCCAGGGCUCAACCUUGGAAUUGCCUUUGAUACUGGCUGUCUUGAGUUUGGGAGAGGUGAGUGGAACUCCGAGUGUAGAGGUGAAAUUCGUAGAUAUUCGGAAGAACACCAGUGGCGAAGGCGACUCACUGGCUCGAUACUGACGCUGAGGUGCGAAAGCGUGGGGAGCAAACAGGAUUAGAAACCCCAGUAGUCC
Molecule: ribosomal RNA, 425 nt
Filed under: uncultured bacterium
Lineage: Bacteria
Description: bacterial SSU rRNA
Rfam family: Bacterial small subunit ribosomal RNA
Source: RNAcentral